CAGCCCCAAGCUCGCGACGAGGUUCCGAUUAGGCCUAUGGACUUGGUUUGGGAGAAAAACCACAAGGCAGAUGUCAGAACAAGAA
This is a long non-coding RNA of Ipomoea nil (Japanese morning glory), 85 nucleotides long. RefSeq lists it as uncharacterized. Lineage: Eukaryota; Viridiplantae; Streptophyta; Magnoliopsida; Solanales; Convolvulaceae. The record is from RefSeq and is a predicted model, not a curated record. The transcript is spliced from 3 exons.